CGAUUUACAUAUAUACACAAACAAGCAAACACAAGAUCAAGGCUUCAUUAAUAUUAUUAUUAUUUUUUAUUACUGCCUAUAGCAUAUUCGAGAAUAAUAAAUCUGUACUACAUAAUUUGAAUAUUUGAUGGCAUUGUUUUCUAUGUUCCUUGGAUGCUUCUUGGAUUCGUCGCCGCAGGUUGCUGUCGAAGGUGAUGAUAAAACUGCUUCUGCUGCUGCUUAUUCUCUAGAUAUCUCGGAAAACAACUGUGAAUCUAAAUCACAUAGUGACCAAGAUUUUUCAAGUGGAGACGUAGAGAAGGAGAUUAACAACAAAUCCAAAGGUUCUCAAAUACUAGUCUCUUACUUUCCCACUGGCUCAAGACUUUCCUACUUGUGAUCAUAUCAGUAUUAUUUUCAGAAGAUUUUAGGAGUUAUAUUCCGUUUAGUGAGGCACAUUUGUAAGUGAAGUAAAAGUACUGCGAGUAAUAUAUUCAAUUGCUUUUAAUUAGUUGCAUGGUGAAAGAACAAAAUUAUGGAAGCCAAACAAUAACAAACUCCUGAUAUCAUUAUACUCUCUUGUUGCAAAUUUUGUAUGCGUAUAUAUGGAAGCCAA
This 595-nucleotide long non-coding RNA is filed under the name Daucus carota (carrot). Its description in RNAcentral is "long non-coding RNA (DCAR_LNC000780)". The record is from RNAcentral. Lineage: Eukaryota; Viridiplantae; Streptophyta; Magnoliopsida; Apiales; Apiaceae.